CCCUUAGAUGUCCGGGGCCGCACGCGCGCUACACUGAAGGAAUCAGCGUGGCUUUCUCCCUGACCCGAAAGGGUUGGGAAACCCGUUGAAUCUCCUUCGUGAUAGGGAUUGGGGCUUGAAAUUGUUCCCCAUGAACGAGGAAUUCCCAGUAAGCGCGAGUCAUAAGCUCGCGUUGAUUACGUCCCUGCCCUUUGUACACACCGCCCGUCGCUACUACCGAUUGAACGGUUUAGUGAGGGCCUCGGAUUGGUCUCGGCCCGCUCUUUACCGGGCGGCGCCGUUGGUCGAGAAGACGCUCGAACUUGAUCGUUUAGAGGAAGUAAAAGUCGUUACA
Molecule: ribosomal RNA, 334 nt
Filed under: uncultured eukaryote
Lineage: Eukaryota
Description: partial 18S ribosomal RNA
Rfam family: Eukaryotic small subunit ribosomal RNA
Source: RNAcentral